This 297-nucleotide ribosomal RNA is filed under the name uncultured bacterium. RNAcentral's name for it is "partial 16S ribosomal RNA". It matches the Rfam family "Bacterial small subunit ribosomal RNA", at positions 775 to 1067 of the family's 1533-position model. The record is from RNAcentral.
GGAUUAGAUACCCUGGUAGUCCACGCCCUAAACGAUGUACACUAGUUGUUGCAAUGCUAGACAUUGCAGUAAUGCAGUUAACACAUUAAGUGUACCGCCUGGGGAGUACGGUCGCAAGAUUAAAACUCAAAGGAAUAGACGGGGACCCGCACAAGCGGUGGAGCAUGUGGUUUAAUUCGACGAUACGCGAAGAACCUUACCUGGACUUGACAUUUACAGAAUUUUUCAGAGAUGAAUUAGUGUCUGCUUGCAGAAACUGUAGGACAGGUGCUGCACGGCUGUCGUCAGCUCGUGCCG